GAUGAACGCUGGCGGCGUGCCUAAUACAUGCAAGUCGAGCGAACGGACGAGAAGCUUGCUUCUCUGAUGUUAGCGGCGGACGGGUGAGUAAAACGUGGAUAACCUACCUAUAAGACUGGGAUAACUUCGGGAAACCGUAGCUAAUACCGGAUAAUAUUUUGAACCGCAUGGUUCAAAAGUGAAAGACGGUCUUGCUGUCACUUAUAGAUGGAUCCGCGCUGCAUUAGCUAGUUGGUAAGGUAACGGCUUACCAAGGCAACGAUGCAUAGCCGACCUGAGAGGGUGAUCGGCCACACUGGAACUGAGACACGGUCCAGACUCCUACGGGAGGCAGCAGUAGGGAAUCUUCCGCAAUGGGCGAAAGCCUGACGGAGCAACGCCGCGGGAGUGAUGAAGGUCUUCGGAUCGUAAAACUCUGUUAUUAGGGAAGAACAUAUGUGUAAGUAACUGUGCACAUCUUGACGGUACCUAAUCAGAAAGCCACGGCUAACUACGUGC
This 498-nucleotide ribosomal RNA is filed under the name uncultured bacterium. RNAcentral describes it as "partial 16S ribosomal RNA". It matches the Rfam family "Bacterial small subunit ribosomal RNA", at positions 28 to 508 of the family's 1533-position model. The record is from RNAcentral.